UUAAGCAUAUCAAUAAGCGGAGGAAAAGAAACCAACAGGGAUUGCCCUAGUAACGGCGAGUGAAGCGGCAACAGCUCAAAUUUGAAAUCUGCCCCUCUUUGGGGGUCCGAGUUGUAAUUUGCAGAGGGUGCUUUGGCAUCGGCGGCGGUCUAAGUUCCUUGGAACAGGACAUCGCAGAGGGUGAGAAUCCCGUACGUGGGCGCCUGCCUCUGCCGUGUAAAGCCCCUUCGACGAGUCGAGUUGUUUGGGAAUGCAGCUCUAAAUGGGAGGUAAAUUUCUUCUAAAGCUAAAUACCGGCCAGAGACCGAUAGCGCACAAGUAGAGUGAUCGAAAGAUGAAAAGUACUUUGGAAAGAGAGUCAAAUAGCACGUGAAAUUGUUGAAAGGGAAGCGCUUGCAGCCAGACGUGCCCGCAGUUGCUCACCCAGGCUCCGGCCUGGGGCACUCUUCUGCGGGCAGGCCAGCAUCAGUUUGGGCGGUUGGAUAAAGGCCUCUGUCACGUAUCUCCCUUCGGGGAGACCUUAUAGGGGAGGCGCAAUGCAACCAGCCCGGACUGAGGUCCGCGCAUCUGCUAGGAUGCUGGCGUAAUGGCUGUAAGCGGCCCGUCUUGAAACACGGACCAAGGAGUCUAACAUCUAUGCGAGUGUUUGGGUGUCAAGCCCGGGCGCGUAAUGAAAGUGAACGGAGGUGGGAACCCUUUGGGUGCACCAUCGACCGAUCCUGAUGUCUUCGGAUGGAUUUGAGUAAGAGCAUAGCUGUUGGGACCCGAAAGAUGGUGAACUUGGCUUGAAUAGGGUGAAGCCAGAGGAAACUCUGGUGGAGGCUCGCAGCGGUUCUGACGUGCAAAUCGAUCGUCAAAUUUGGGCAUAGGGGCGAAAGACUGAUCGACGCCAUCAAGGGGCUGGUUCCUGCCGAGGCCCCCCGGGGGUACCAA
Molecule: ribosomal RNA, 933 nt
Filed under: Kalmusia cordylines
Lineage: Eukaryota; Fungi; Ascomycota; Dothideomycetes; Pleosporales; Didymosphaeriaceae
Description: Kalmusia sp. NDK-2021a partial large subunit ribosomal RNA
Rfam family: Eukaryotic large subunit ribosomal RNA
Source: RNAcentral